Molecule: non-coding RNA, 28 nt
Filed under: Mus musculus (house mouse)
Lineage: Eukaryota; Metazoa; Chordata; Mammalia; Rodentia; Muridae
Source: RNAcentral
UUNCAUGGAUUUAGCCUAUGUGAGCAGC